AAAGGGUGACGAAGCGACGCCGCGUGUGGGAAGAAGGCCUUCGGGUUGUAAACNNCUGUCGGGAGUUAAGAAGUGUAAGGGUGUUAAGAGCAUCCUUGCUUGACGUUAGCUCCGGAGGAAGCCACGGCUAACUCUGUGCCAGCAGCCGCGGUAAUACAGAGGUGGCAAGCGUUGUUCGGAAUUAUUGGGCGUAAAGAGCACGUAGGCGGCCCUGCAAGUCAGCUGUGAAAUCCUUCUGCUCAACGGAAGAACGGCAGUUGAUACUACAGGGCUCGAGUGCGGGAGGGGAGAGUGGAACUUCUGGUGGAGCGGUGAAAUGCGUAGAUAUCAGAAGGAACAUCGGCGGCGAAAGCGACUCUCUGGCCCGUAACUGACGCUGAGGUGCGAAAGCUAGGGGAGCAAACGGGAUUAGAUACCCCGGUAGUCCUAGCCGUAAACGAUGGGCACUAAGUAGAGGGGUUU
This 462-nucleotide ribosomal RNA is filed under the name uncultured Planctomycetota bacterium. RNAcentral describes it as "bacterial SSU rRNA". It matches the Rfam family "Bacterial small subunit ribosomal RNA", at positions 378 to 831 of the family's 1533-position model. The record is from RNAcentral. Lineage: Bacteria; Pseudomonadati; Planctomycetota.